This 375-nucleotide ribosomal RNA is filed under the name uncultured eukaryote. RNAcentral's name for it is "partial 18S ribosomal RNA". It matches the Rfam family "Eukaryotic small subunit ribosomal RNA", at positions 592 to 976 of the family's 1831-position model. The record is from RNAcentral.
CAAUAGCGUAUAUUUAAGUUGUUGCAGUUAAAAAGCUCGUAGUUGGAUUUCGGUUAAGAGCGACCGGUCCGCCGUUUGGUGUGCACUGGUUGGUUUUAACUUCCUGUAGAGGACGUGCUCUGGGUUUAACGACCUGGACUCGGAGUCUACGUGGUUACUUUGAAAAAAUUAGAGUGUUCAAAGCGGGCUUACGCUUGAAUAUUUCAGCAUGGAAUAACACUAUAGGACUCCUGUCCUAUUUCGUUGGUCUCGGGACGGGAGUAAUGAUUAAGAGGAACAGUUGGGGGCAUUCGUAUUUCAUUGUCAGAGGUGAAAUUCUUGGAUUUAUGAAAGACGAACUUCUGCGAAAGCAUUUGCCAAGGAUGGUUUCAUUAA